Molecule: long non-coding RNA, 384 nt
Filed under: Anas platyrhynchos platyrhynchos (common mallard)
Lineage: Eukaryota; Metazoa; Chordata; Aves; Anseriformes; Anatidae
Description: lncRNA (ENSAPLG00000025388.1)
Source: RNAcentral
CGCGCGCCCCACGCCGCCCGCUUCCCACAGGUCCAGCCGCACCUCGCAGCCCAGCCCCGCGCGCAGCAGCUCGGCCAGGGCGCACACCAGCCCCAGGUGCUCCUCCGAGUCCGGGGAGUACAGCAGCAGCACGGGGCGGCCGCCCGCUGCGCCUGCGGGUGGCCUCCAUGCGCCGCGGCAGUUGAGGAGCAGCACGGUCAGCACCAGCCCCAGCGCCAGCCCCAGCCCCAGCAGCCCGAAAUGCCUGCGUGAGACUGCGAGAGGGGCGGUGAGGGGCGGGGGGAAGCCCCCACACCCCACCCCCAGACCCCAGACCCUCCUGCUGGCUCCAGGACCCCGCUCACCAUCAGGGCAGAGCAGCUGCUUCCUGGCGAAGCGCACGUC